CGGGGACGGGUGAGUAAUGUUCGGUAGAACUGCCUGAUGGGGGAGGGGGAAUACUGGAAACGGUAGCUAAUACCGCAUAACGUCGCAAGACCAAAGAGGGGGACCUUCGGGCCUCUUGCCAUCGGAUGUGCCCAGAUGGGAUUAGCUAGUAGGUGGGGUAACGGCUCACCUAGGCGACGAUCCCUAGCUGGUCUGAGAGGAUGACCAGCCACACUGGAACUGAGACACGGUCCAG
RNAcentral lists this ribosomal RNA (235 nucleotides) under uncultured bacterium. RNAcentral describes it as "partial 16S ribosomal RNA". It matches the Rfam family "Bacterial small subunit ribosomal RNA", at positions 100 to 334 of the family's 1533-position model. The record is from RNAcentral.